RNAcentral lists this ribosomal RNA (675 nucleotides) under Triticum aestivum (bread wheat). RNAcentral describes it as "partial small subunit ribosomal RNA". The record is from RNAcentral. Lineage: Eukaryota; Viridiplantae; Streptophyta; Magnoliopsida; Poales; Poaceae.
AUGGGCCGGAAGUCGAGUGGGCCGCAGUCCAGUCGAGAAGGUUGGAGGUCCAGGCGAGAAGAUGAGGUGUUUCUUAAACUUCAACUCUAUGCACAACAUUCAAUUGUCAACCGUCCAUGUGCUAAGUUGGCCUACAAGUAUUAUGGACCCUUUUCAGUGUUAGAGCGCAUCGGACCAGCAGCUUACAAACUGCAGUUACCUUCAGAGGCUCUCAUUCAUCCUGUGGUCCAUGUGUCUCAACUGAAAGAGCAUAAACCAGAUCAUACACCGGUCUUCUCGCAGUUACCGUCGAUGGUGGAUUUAUUUGUGGCUCAAGUGGUGCCAGAGGUUUUUGUGGAUCGCAAGAUGGUUAAGAAAAACAACAAGGUUCAAGUGCAGGUGUUGGUAAAGUGGUCUGGAUUAUCGGAAGAAGCGGCGACUUGGGAGGACUAUGAUGUGCUUAAGAGUAGGUUCCCAGAUGCACCAGCAUGGGGACAAGCUGAUGCUCAAGAGGGCGGCAUUGUCAGCAGUGCUACGCAGAUGCUGACAGCAUCAACAAGCAAGACAGAUGCAGAGACGUCAAGGGCGCGUAAUUCAGAAGCAAGUGCAAGCUCAUGGGCCGGAAGUCGAGUGGGCCACAGUCCAGUCGAGAAGGCUGGAGGUCCAGGCGAGAAGAGUGAAUGGGUAUAUCAGUAG